UCAGAGGAUUCCGAAAAUCUGUAAAAGAGUAGGAC
Molecule: non-coding RNA, 35 nt
Submitted as: unclassified sequences
Source: Rfam